Molecule: ribosomal RNA, 419 nt
Filed under: bacterium
Lineage: Bacteria
Description: partial 16S ribosomal RNA
Rfam family: Bacterial small subunit ribosomal RNA
Source: RNAcentral
UGGGGGAUAUUGCACAAUGGGCGAAAGCCUGAUGCAGCGACGCCGCGUGGGGGAUGAAGGCCUUCGGGUUGUAAACUUCUUUUGCUCUGAACAAGGCAUGCUAAUGGGUGUGUUGAGUGUAGGGGUUGAUUAGCGCCGGCUAACUACGUGCCAGCAGCCGCGGUAAUACGUAGGGCGCGAGCGUUGUCCGGAAUUAUUGGGGGUAAAGGGCUUGUAGGUGGCUGGUUGCGUCUGUCGUGAAAGCUCAUGGCUUAACUGUGGGUUUGCGGUGGGUACGGGCUGGCUUGAGUGCAGUAGGGGAGGCUGGAAUUCCUGGUGGAGCGGUGGAAUGCGCAGAUAUCAGGAGGAAUACCGGUGGCGAAGGCGGGUCUCUGGGCUGUUACUGACACUGAGGAGCGAAAGCAUGGGGAGCGAACAGG